RNAcentral lists this small nuclear RNA (301 nucleotides) under Dasypus novemcinctus (nine-banded armadillo). RNAcentral's name for it is "7SK RNA (ENSDNOG00000030152.1)". It matches the Rfam family "7SK RNA". From Rfam's summary of the family: 7SK was discovered as an abundant small nuclear RNA in the mid-70s but a possible function has only recently been suggested. Two independent studies have found that 7SK RNA binds the CDK9/cyclin T complex (known as elongation factor P-TEFb). Lineage: Eukaryota; Metazoa; Chordata; Mammalia; Cingulata; Dasypodidae. The record is from RNAcentral.
GAAUGAUUUGCCCAUGAUAUCUGUCACCCAAUGAUUACCAGAGUUGAUUAGGCUAAGCCCCCCCGGCUGACCUAGGGCCACUUCACCCAGAGCUCCUUGUGUGACCCCUCCAAACCUGCAUACUUGGGUUGAGAAGACAAUUUCCAGGGAGAGAAAAACUGAUUUUUGAUAAGGGAUAUAAAUGAGGCUGCGCUCCCCUGCUAUCCACUUUAAACAAGCUAGCAAGUUCGUCUACUUAUAGUGGUACUACAACUAUGAAAGUAGUCAUUUUAAAAUUUAUGUUUAUUAAAUAUUUUUCUUU